ACUCCUACGGGAGGCAGCAGUGGGGAAUAUUGCACAAUGGGCGCAAGCCUGAUGCAGCGACGCCGCGUGAGGGAUGACGGCCUUCGGGUUGUAAACCUCUUUCAGUAGGGAAGAAGCGAAAGUGACGGUACCUGCAGAAGAAGCACCGGCUAACUACGUGCCAGCAGCCGCGGUAAUACGUAGGGUGCGAGCGUUAUCCGGAAUUAUUGGGCGUAAAGAGCUCGUAGGCGGUUUGUCGCGUCUGUCGUGAAAGUCCGGGGCUUAACCCCGGAUCUGCGGUGGGUACGGGCAGACUAGAGUGCAGUAGGGGAGACUGGAAUUCCUGGUGUAGCGGUGGAAUGCGCAGAUAUCAGGAGGAACACCGAUGGCGAAGGCAGGUCUCUGGGCUGUAACUGACGCUGAGGAGCGAAAGCAUGGGGAGCGAACAGGAUUAGAUACCCUGGUAGA
Molecule: ribosomal RNA, 447 nt
Filed under: uncultured bacterium
Lineage: Bacteria
Description: bacterial SSU rRNA
Rfam family: Bacterial small subunit ribosomal RNA
Source: RNAcentral